RNAcentral lists this ribosomal RNA (484 nucleotides) under uncultured bacterium. Its description in RNAcentral is "partial 16S ribosomal RNA". It matches the Rfam family "Bacterial small subunit ribosomal RNA", at positions 28 to 523 of the family's 1533-position model. The record is from RNAcentral.
GAUGAACGCUGGCGGCGUGCUUAACACAUGCAAGUCGAACGGUGAAGCAGGAGCUUGCUCUUGUGGAUCAGUGGCGAACGGGUGAGUAACACGUGAGCAACCUGCCCCUGACUCUGGGAUAAGCGCUGGAAACGGCGUCUAAUACUGGAUAUGUGAUGUGACCGCAUGGUCUGCAUCUGGAAAGAAUUUCGGUUGGGGAUGGGCUCGCGGCCUAUCAGCUUGUUGGUGAGGUAAUGGCUCACCAAGGCGUCGACGGGUAGCCGGCCUGAGAGGGUGACCGGCCACACUGGGACUGAGACACGGCCCAGACUCCUACGGGAGGCAGCAGUGGGGAAUAUUGCACAAUGGGCGGAAGCCUGAUGCAGCAACGCCGCGUGAGGGAUGACGGCCUUCGGGUUGUAAACCUCUUUUAGCAGGGAAGAAGCGAGAGUGACGGUACCUGCAGAAAAAGCACCGGCUAACUACGUGCCAGCCGCCGCAGUAC